CGCAUAGUAAUUCAGUUGGUAGAAUAUUUGUCUUAAGAACAAAACGCCGCAGGUUCAACUCCUGCCGUUGCAA
RNAcentral lists this transfer RNA (73 nucleotides) under Hofstenia miamia. Its description in RNAcentral is "tRNA-Leu for anticodon UAA". It matches the Rfam family "tRNA". From Rfam's summary of the family: Transfer RNA (tRNA) molecules are approximately 80 nucleotides in length. The record is from RNAcentral. Lineage: Eukaryota; Metazoa; Xenacoelomorpha; Acoela; Hofsteniidae.